RNAcentral lists this ribosomal RNA (2924 nucleotides) under Shigella flexneri. Its description in RNAcentral is "bacterial LSU rRNA". It matches the Rfam family "Bacterial large subunit ribosomal RNA". Lineage: Bacteria; Pseudomonadati; Pseudomonadota; Gammaproteobacteria; Enterobacterales; Enterobacteriaceae. The record is from RNAcentral.
GGGUUGUGAGGUUAAGCGACUAAGCGUACACGGUGGAUGCCCUGGCAGUCAGAGGCGAUGAAGGACGUGCUAAUCUGCGAUAAGCGUCGGUAAGGUGAUAUGAACCGUUAUAACCGGCGAUUUCCGAAUGGGGAAACCCAGUGUGAUUCGUCACACUAUCAUUAACUGAAUCCAUAGGUUAAUGAGGCGAACCGGGGGAACUGAAACAUCUAAGUACCCCGAGGAAAAGAAAUCAACCGAGAUUCCCCAGUAGCGGCGAGCGAACGGGGAGCAGCCCAGAGCCUGAAUCAGUGUGUGUGUUAGUGGAAGCGUCUGGAAAGGCGUGCGAUACAGGGUGACAGCCCCGUACACAAAAAUGCACAUACUGUGAGCUCGAUGAGUAGGGCGGGACACGUGGUAUCCUGUCUGAAUAUGGGGGGACCAUCCUCCAAGGCUAAAUACUCCUGACUGACCGAUAGUGAACCAGUACCGUGAGGGAAAGGCGAAAAGAACCCCGGCGAGGGGAGUGAAAAAGAACCUGAAACCGUGUACGUACAAGCAGUGGGAGCACGCUUAGGCGUGUGACUGCGUACCUUUUGUAUAAUGGGUCAGCGACUUAUAUUCUGUAGCAAGGUUAACCGAAUAGGGGAGCCGAAGGGAAACCGAGUCUUAACUGGGCGUUAAGUUGCAGGGUAUAGACCCGAAACCCGGUGAUCUAGCCAUGGGCAGGUUGAAGGUUGGGUAACACUAACUGGAGGACCGAACCGACUAAUGUUGAAAAAUUAGCGGAUGACUUGUGGCUGGGGGUGAAAGGCCAAUCAAACCGGGAGAUAGCUGGUUCUCCCCGAAAGCUAUUUAGGUAGCGCCUCGUGAAUUCAUCUCCGGGGGUAGAGCACUGUUUCGGCAAGGGGGUCAUCCCGACUUACCAACCCGAUGCAAACUGCGAAUACCGGAGAAUGUUAUCACGGGAGACACACGGCGGGUGCUAACGUCCGUCGUGAAGAGGGAAACAACCCAGACCGCCAGCUAAGGUCCCAAAGUCAUGGUUAAGUGGGAAACGAUGUGGGAAGGCCCAGACAGCCAGGAUGUUGGCUUAGAAGCAGCCAUCAUUUAAAGAAAGCGUAAUAGCUCACUGGUCGAGUCGGCCUGCGCGGAAGAUGUAACGGGGCUAAACCAUGCACCGAAGCUGCGGCAGCGACGCUUAUGCGUUGUUGGGUAGGGGAGCGUUCUGUAAGCCUGUGAAGGUGUGCUGUGAGGUAUGCUGGAGGUAUCAGAAGUGCGAAUGCUGACAUAAGUAACGAUAAAGCGGGUGAAAAGCCCGCUCGCCGGAAGACCAAGGGUUCCUGUCCAACGUUAAUCGGGGCAGGGUGAGUCGACCCCUAAGGCGAGGCCGAAAGGCGUAGUCGAUGGGAAACAGGUUAAUAUUCCUGUACUUGGUGUUACUGCGAAGGGGGGACGGAGAAGGCUAUGUUGGCCGGGCGACGGUUGUCCCGGUUUAAGCGUGUAGGCUGGUUUUCCAGGCAAAUCCGGAAAAUCAAGGCCGAGGCGUGAUGACGAGGCACUACGGUGCUGAAGCAACAAAUGCCCUGCUUCCAGGAAAAGCCUCUAAGCAUCAGGUAACAUCAAAUCGUACCCCAAACCGACACAGGUGGUCAGGUAGAGAAUACCAAGGCGCUUGAGAGAACUCGGGUGAAGGAACUAGGCAAAAUGGUGCCGUAACUUCGGGAGAAGGCACGCUGAUACGUAGGUGAAGCGACUUGCUCGUGGAGCUGAAAUCAGUCGAAGAUACCAGCUGGCUGCAACUGUUUAUUAAAAACACAGCACUGUGCAAACACGAAAGUGGACGUAUACGGUGUGACGCCUGCCCGGUGCCGGAAGGUUAAUUGAUGGGGUUAGCGCAAGCGAAGCUCUUGAUCGAAGCCCCGGUAAACGGCGGCCGUAACUAUAACGGUCCUAAGGUAGCGAAAUUCCUUGUCGGGUAAGUUCCGACCUGCACGAAUGGCGUAAUGAUGGCCAGGCUGUCUCCACCCGAGACUCAGUGAAAUUGAACUCGCUGUGAAGAUGCAGUGUACCCGCGGCAAGACGGAAAGACCCCGUGAACCUUUACUAUAGCUUGACACUGAACAUUGAGCCUUGAUGUGUAGGAUAGGUGGGAGGCUUUGAAGUGUGGACGCCAGUCUGCAUGGAGCCGACCUUGAAAUACCACCCUUUAAUGUUUGAUGUUCUAACGUGGACCCGUGAUCCGGGUUGCGGACAGUGUCUGGUGGGUAGUUUGACUGGGGCGGUCUCCUCCUAAAGAGUAACGGAGGAGCACGAAGGUUGGCUAAUCCUGGUCGGACAUCAGGAGGUUAGUGCAAUGGCAUAAGCCAGCUUGACUGCGAGCGUGACGGCGCGAGCAGGUGCGAAAGCAGGUCAUAGUGAUCCGGUGGUUCUGAAUGGAAGGGCCAUCGCUCAACGGAUAAAAGGUACUCCGGGGAUAACAGGCUGAUACCGCCCAAGAGUUCAUAUCGACGGCGGUGUUUGGCACCUCGAUGUCGGCUCAUCACAUCCUGGGGCUGAAGUAGGUCCCAAGGGUAUGGCUGUUCGCCAUUUAAAGUGGUACGCGAGCUGGGUUUAGAACGUCGUGAGACAGUUCGGUCCCUAUCUGCCGUGGGCGCUGGAGAACUGAGGGGGGCUGCUCCUAGUACGAGAGGACCGGAGUGGACGCAUCACUGGUGUUCGGGUUGUCAUGCCAAUGGCACUGCCCGGUAGCUAAAUGCGGAAGAGAUAAGUGCUGAAAGCAUCUAAGCACGAAACUUGCCCCGAGAUGAGUUCUCCCUGACCCUUUAAGGGUCCUGAAGGAACGUUGAAGACGACGACGUUGAUAGGCCGGGUGUGUAAGCGCAGCGAUGCGUUGAGCUAACCGGUACUAAUGAACCGUGAGGCUUAACCUUACAACGCCGAAG